RNAcentral lists this ribosomal RNA (200 nucleotides) under uncultured bacterium. RNAcentral describes it as "partial 16S ribosomal RNA". It matches the Rfam family "Bacterial small subunit ribosomal RNA", at positions 1301 to 1500 of the family's 1533-position model. The record is from RNAcentral.
CAGGCUGCAACUCGCCUGCAUGAAGCUGGAAUUGCUAGUAAUCGCGGAUCAGCAGGCCGCGGUGAAUACGUUCCCGGGCCUUGUACACACCGCCCGUCACACCAUGAGAGUCGGGAACACCCGAAGUCCGUAGUCUAACCGCAAGGGGGGCGCGGCCGAAGGUGGGUCCGGUAAUUGGGGUGAAGUCGUAACAAGGUAUC